Long non-coding RNA from Drosophila mojavensis, 803 nucleotides. RefSeq lists it as uncharacterized. Lineage: Eukaryota; Metazoa; Arthropoda; Insecta; Diptera; Drosophilidae. The record is from RefSeq and is a predicted model, not a curated record. The transcript is spliced from 2 exons.
UUGACGACUGCAAAGCAAUAAAAUAAUUAUUAAGAAAUAUAUAAAAAUAUAUACUUAACGCGAAUACCGAAUUGUGUACAUAAUUUAUAGAUCUAUGAAUAACAAGUCUAAACUUCAUAAACAUUAUAUAUUUCCGUUUUAUCAAUGUCAAGUGACCUAUCUGUCAGUCCAUAUUAGAUAUUCGAAAUUGAAAUGAAGAACUAAAAGAUAAUGAUGAUUUUUAUAUACUUGAUAUUAAUCAGGAUUAGAUAACUUUUAUAGCUAACAAAAGAUUUUCCAGACAACAAUAACAAUAUGUUUCUAAUAAGUGCAGAUGACGAAAAUCUAUAAUCAACAAGUUCCAAGCGAGCAAUGAUUUUGAGAAUAUUCAGUGCAACUCGGUAGAUCAAAAUUUGCAAUAUAAAUGAGAAAUCGGAACUCAGAAGCAAAUUCGAAUAUAUUGAGCGUUUGCUUACUGAAAAUUUGGAUUCACUGGAAGAAGCGCUGACAAAUAAGUUUGAUAUGAGGCCAUUUCAGACAAUCGUCGCCAAAUAUAAUUUCUUAGAAAACUAACUGCCGCCUCAACUGGUUUGCAGCCUCUAACAGAAGUCGGUAAUGGGGUGGAGACUUUGCCCUUAACUAAUGCGAGAAAGAUCAAACUCUAUAGUUUGCUAUCUUCAUUUGACAAUUGACAAUGUUUCAUUCAGCAAUCCCAAAUGGAGUUCAGUAACAGAUGCUGCCCGAACACAACUUUUGAUUAUGUAAAAUCUAAUUUAUACUAUAUGUAAAUAUACAACCUAAAUAAGUGUUCCACCUUAUGAACA